UGUCACAGUGUCUAAGUACAAAUAAAGAGAUCUCACAAGAUACCUGUUUCAGAGCACUUCCUGGAGGGUUCAUCCAAACAGAGCUUCAGGAGAAAGAGGAAUAUAAGAAGCUGAAAGACAAGAUCAAAAUGUUAGAGUCAAGGUAUUGAGAAUAUCUUUCAAUCCAUCGGUGGCCCUACAAUUUAAUGCAGAUGUGGUUUCAGCACAUGGUUUCCACACUAUGCCUCUUGUUUCACUGUGAUUGCUGCUGUAAUCAGCUGUUGUCUUUGCGCUGCAGAAGCUGUUUGAUGCCUGUGAGAAAGAUAUACAGCAGAGAGCAACUAACACGUUCACAGUUCUUGACAUUCCACCUUUGAAUGAUGCCAUGACCAACACAGAACAGCAAGCUGGUGUUGACUCAAAAAAUUCCAUUCAAAGACAGUUCAUACUGCAGUGCUGCAGAAUUUAUUGUCUGCUGCUUCUUCAGGACCCACCGGUUAAAGCUGUGUGGAACCUACAGGAAAGCUUGACACAAUGCCUAGAGCACGUGGACAAGAAAGACUGGGAGCACUGGAGGAAAUCAGCACUUCUGUGGCCCAUAAUGAAAUGUGGGGAAGAAGUCAUUGUGAAAGGUGUAGUCUGGGAUGAAAAGUAGCUUGACUUCAGAGCCAAGCUACUCAUUCAUAUGGCCACAAGAAGAUGAAAGAGGUGCUGUGCAAUAUGCUGUUUUUCUUUCUCCCAUGAACUGCCAGCUUUUCAGUGCUAGUAAGUUAGAUGCUUCUGGCUUGGGAUGUCUAGAAUAAAUUAUUAUUUACAAACAUGUAUUAAAAAUUGAGGGUAUUUGCCUCAGUAACAUGUGUAUUUUAUGUAACAUCUGUGUUUCUAGCCUAGGAUCUCACCCUGUGAAGGCACUUGUCUCCUCACCAACAACAUGUAGUAGGACUAAUGCUUUGUGGGACCCCUAACAGCAGUGAUACCUCUGCCCUCCCCUGUGUCUGUGCACAAACUGCAGGGUCGUGCUUUCUGCUAAUGAAUAAGCAGCAAGCAUGAAGGUGGCCCGUUGGGAAACAGGCAUCCUUCUAGGGUAAUAAUGUACUUACCUGAGAAAAAAAUCAAGACGCUAAAAGACAAGGCUCACAAAGGUUGCAACAGGCUCUCAGAAGACAGGUGUGCAAUAGGUCCAUGUACACAGACACUAAGGCCCACCCUUAGGAGGCAAAAGGCCACUUAUCUCCACACAAAUGCCGCCUUCCUGUUAGUACUCAGCUGCUUUCCCAUUUCUGCACAAUUUACUGCUCCACAGCUCUUGAUCCAAGUGGUCUAAAAGUUGUAUUUCACAGGGUAAGCGGGAUGCAAUGAGGCAAAUGCAUGUUUAUGUGCUUGUGUGACAAAAUACUCAGUGAAAAUCUUGAGAUUUGCCAAAUAAAAAAGACUGG
RNAcentral lists this long non-coding RNA (1415 nucleotides) under Falco tinnunculus (common kestrel). Its description in RNAcentral is "lncRNA (ENSFTIG00000006608.1)". Lineage: Eukaryota; Metazoa; Chordata; Aves; Falconiformes; Falconidae. The record is from RNAcentral.